UACGGAGGGGGCGAGCGUUAUUCGGAAUUAUUGGGCGUAAAGGGCGCGUAGGCGGCUGUACAAGUCAAAGGUGAAAUCCCUCGGCUCAACUGAGGAACUGCCUUUGAAACUGUACGGCUUGAGGCCGGGAGGGGGUAGCGGAAUUCCCAAUGUAGCGGUGAAAUGCGUAGAUAUUGGGAGGAACACCAGUGGCGAAGGCGGCUACCUGGACAGGUUCUGACGCUGAGGCGCGAAAGCGUGGGUAGCAAACAGG
This 253-nucleotide ribosomal RNA is filed under the name uncultured bacterium. RNAcentral's name for it is "partial 16S ribosomal RNA". It matches the Rfam family "Bacterial small subunit ribosomal RNA", at positions 524 to 776 of the family's 1533-position model. The record is from RNAcentral.